RNAcentral lists this ribosomal RNA (1840 nucleotides) under Isoptericola sp. JCM 19051. RNAcentral describes it as "bacterial LSU rRNA". It matches the Rfam family "Bacterial large subunit ribosomal RNA", at positions 1212 to 2925 of the family's 2925-position model. The record is from RNAcentral. Lineage: Bacteria; Bacillati; Actinomycetota; Actinomycetes; Micrococcales; Promicromonosporaceae.
UGUUCAGGUGUGUGGGUGGGUAGGGGAGCGUCGUGUGGGCAGUGAAGCUGCAGGGUGACCUAGUGGUGGAGCCUACACGAGUGAGAAUGCAGGCAUGAGUAGCGAAUGACGGGUGAGAAACCCGUCCGCCGAAUGACCAAGGGUUCCAGGGCCAGGUUAAUCCGCCCUGGGUAAGUCGGGACCUAAGGCGAGGCCGACAGGCGUAGUCGAUGGACAAGGAGUUGAUAUUCUCCUACCGGCGAAGAACCGCCCAUACCGAGCCCGGUGAUGCUAACCAUCCCAAACCACCAUCCGGGAUCCUUCGGGAUUCCACCGGUGGGGCGGCGUGGGACCCGAACCGGUAGUAGGUAAGCGUGUUAACAGGGGUGACGCAGGAAGGUAGCCCGGCGUGGCGAUGGUAGUCCACGUCCAAGGUUGUAGCCCGCUUCGUAGGCAAAUCCGCGAAGCACAUAGGGUGAGAGCUGAUAGUGACCGCGUAUGCGGGAAACGGGUGAUCCUCUGCUGCCAAGAAAAGCCUCGACGCGAGGUUCUAGCCGCCCGUACCCCAAACCGACUCAGGUGGUCAGGUAGAGAAUACCAAGGCGAUCGAGCGAAUCGUGGUUAAGGAACUCGGCAAAAUGCCCCCGUAACUUCGGGAGAAGGGGGGCCCGAACCGUGAACCGGACUUGCUCCGGGGAGGCGGGGAGGGCCGCAGAGACCAGGGAGAAGCGACUGUUUACUAAAAACACAGGUCCGUGCGAAGUCGCAAGACGAUGUAUACGGACUGACGCCUGCCCGGUGCUGGAAGGUUAAGAGGACGGGUCAACUUCGGUGAAGCCCAGAAUUUAAGCCCCAGUAAACGGCGGUGGUAACUAUAACCAUCCUAAGGUAGCGAAAUUCCUUGUCGGGUAAGUUCCGACCUGCACGAAUGGCGUAACGACUUCUCCGCUGUCUCAACCGCGAGCUCGGCGAAAUUGCACUACGAGUAAAGAUGCUCGUUACGCGCAGCAGGACGGAAAGACCCCGGGACCUUUACUAUAGCUUGGUAUUGGUGUUCGGUGCGGCUUGUGUAGGAUAGGUGGGAGACUAUGAAACCCGGCCGCCAGGUCGGGUGGAGUCAACGUUGAAAUACCACUCUGGCCGCAUCGACCAUCUAACCUCGGUCCGUGAUCCGGAUCAGGGACAGUGCCUGGUGGGUAGUUUAACUGGGGCGGUUGCCUCCCAAAAUGUAACGGAGGCGCUCAAAGGUUCCCUCAGCCUGGUUGGCAAUCAGGUGUCGAGUGCAAGUGCACAAGGGAGCUUGACUGUGAGACCGACAGGUCGAGCAGGGACGAAAGUCGGAACUAGUGAUCCGGCGGUGGCUUGUGGAAGCGCCGUCGCUCAACGGAUAAAAGGUACCCCGGGGAUAACAGGCUGAUCUUGCCCAAGAGUCCAUAUCGACGGCAUGGUUUGGCACCUCGAUGUCGGCUCGUCGCAUCCUGGGGCUGGAGUAGGUCCCAAGGGUUGGGCUGUUCGCCCAUUAAAGCGGUACGCGAGCUGGGUUUAGAACGUCGUGAGACAGUUCGGUCCCUAUCCGCUGCGCGCGCAGGAAACUUGAGAAGGGCUGUCCCUAGUACGAGAGGACCGGGACGGACGAACCUCUGGUGUGCCAGUUGUUCCGCCAGGAGCACGGCUGGUUAGCUACGUUCGGAAGGGAUAACCGCUGAAAGCAUCUAAGCGGGAAGCCUGCUUCAAGAUGAGGUUUCCAUCCCUACGGGGGUGAAGGCACCCAGCUAGACCACUGGGUAGAUAGGCCGGAUGUGGAAGACAGGACUAACGACUGUCGGAGCUGACCGGUACUAAUAAGCCAACAACUUCACAC